GCCAAAUUGGUACCAAUCGAGUCUAAAUUUUGCAAAGAUUGAUGUCCGGUGCUACUACUGACCGAACCGUUCAUAUUUCCAUUGUUCGCACUCUGGCAAUUCAACAUCAUGUCACUGCAACAAAUAUUCACAAUUUCGCCUCAUAUGGUCCAGCAGCUUUGUUCGGAGAAUUUUUAAAGAAAUGUGCGUGUUGAACAGAGUGGCAUGAACUUUGGGAAGGAAGGAAAUAAGGGACUACGUCUGUGUGGAAGAAUGGUCAACUUUAUGCAUUGUUCUUUUGGCUUGUGAAUAUAUAACUAUAUAUUCUUCCCCUCCUCAUCAUCAAAAAAGACUCACCUUUCGAGAUUUGCCAUGUCCUUUUUUUGGACCAUACUUUUGCAGAGGCAAAUAAUUUGUUCCUCAGAGAAACUUGAACCGUUGCUAUUUCCACCGAGGGCAA
Molecule: long non-coding RNA, 439 nt
Organism: Leptopilina boulardi
Lineage: Eukaryota; Metazoa; Arthropoda; Insecta; Hymenoptera; Figitidae
Exons: 3
Source: RefSeq, a predicted model, not a curated record